CGGGACGGGUGAGUAACGCGUGGGUAACCUGCCUCAUACAGGGGGAUAACAGUUAGAAAUGACUGCUAAUACCGCAUAAGCGCACAGAAUCGCAUGAUUCGGUGUGAAAAACUCCGGUGGUAUGAGAUGGACCCGCGUCUGAUUAGCUAGUUGGUGGGGUAAAGGCCUACCAAGGCGACGAUCAGUAGCCGACCUGAGAGGGUGAUCGGCCACAUUGGGACUGAGACACGGCCCAAACUCCUACGGAAGGCAGCAG
This 256-nucleotide ribosomal RNA is filed under the name uncultured bacterium. Its description in RNAcentral is "partial 16S ribosomal RNA". It matches the Rfam family "Bacterial small subunit ribosomal RNA", at positions 98 to 354 of the family's 1533-position model. The record is from RNAcentral.